Molecule: ribosomal RNA, 253 nt
Filed under: uncultured bacterium
Lineage: Bacteria
Description: partial 16S ribosomal RNA
Rfam family: Bacterial small subunit ribosomal RNA
Source: RNAcentral
UACGUAGGGGGCAAGCGUUGUCCGGAAUCAUUGGGCGUAAAGCGCGUGUAGGCGGCCCGGUAAGUCCGCUGUGAAAGUCGGGGGCUCAACCCUCGAAUGCCGGUGGAUACUGUCGGGCUAGAGUGCGGGAGAGGCGAGUGGAAUUCCUGGUGUAGCGGUGAAAUGCGCAGAUAUCUGGAGGAAUACCGGUGGCGAAGGCGGCAUCCUGGACCGACAUUGACGCUGAACGGCGAAAGCUAGGGGAGCAAACGGG